UCCUUAAGCUCCUCCAAACCCUUCCUCAGCUCCAUUCCCUUCCCAAACCCUUCCCCAGCUCCUUCAGGAUUUCUCCAGAUCCUCCCCCAGGGUGGGAAUUGCACAGAGUGUUGAUUUUGGGGUGUCUGUGCAGGGCCAGGGGUUGCAUUUGAUCCCUGUGGGUCCCUUCCAGCUCAGGAUAUUCUAUAAUUCUAUAAUUCACAACUUCAGGCAUCUUUUCCCUACAAGCCAAAAGCUUUAACUGGAAAAAAAAAAAUCCACCUUUUAAUCUCUGACAUGCACAAAGCCCUAAAAAUUGCUGAGCUCAGGGGCUGGGGGCAGGGUGACAGAAAUUUUCCUGACAACAAACAGAGAACACACUUUGUGUCUGAUCUUGCAAAGAACCAGUUCUGCUCCUGGUUUAUCUCUCCUGGAAAUGCCUGGGGAUUUUGGGGUCUUGAAUGAAAUAUUUCCAGCAAGGAACAGCAGAGGAAAAAGGAACCAAAAGCACCACAGGUACUUCCACCUCCUACAGGAAAUUUUAUCAAGCACCUUCAGUGUCUCUUGUGCUGGCAAAAAACAAAAUUAUCCCAAAGAGCUUGUCCAGAUCAAAUCAUCAUGUUCUUCCCAGGCACAGAAACAACACCAGAAAGGGGCAAAAAAAUGCAAAAGCACCUUAAAAACACAUUGAAAUCCUAAAAGCAGAAAGGGGUGAUAGGUGGAAAAGAUUCUGUAACUCAUGAGAAAUGAGUUAUAAAGUAGCUAUGCAUUUAUUUAGUGCUGAGGUGCAUGGGGACAGCUUUUUUUAUAGCAUGCACAUUGAAAUUUUAGAUUUUUGCCUUAUUUAUUUUUUUAGAAUUGAGGCAUUCCUCAAUUCCCUGUGUCACAGGUUUCAUCCAGAAGUGGCACAGCUGAAGUGAAUUUGUGCUGAAUGUGACAAGGAUGGAAACAACACCAGAAAGGGG
Molecule: long non-coding RNA, 944 nt
Organism: Catharus ustulatus (Swainson's thrush)
Lineage: Eukaryota; Metazoa; Chordata; Aves; Passeriformes; Turdidae
Exons: 2
Source: RefSeq, a predicted model, not a curated record